GCAACCUGCGGGCCAGCAUGGCGGGUUAAACGAAGGGGUGGAGGGGUUGCCUGAAUUAUUGGGCGUAAGGAGCGCGUGCGCGGACGGUGGCUUCGGCUGUGGAAGCCUGGGGCGCAACCCCGGGCUUGCAGCCGAUACGGGCGAGCUAGAAUUCGGUAGGGGAGACUGGAAGUCCUGGUGUAGCGGUGAAAUGCGCAGAUAUCAGGAGGAACACCGGUGGCGAAGGCGGGUCGCUGGGCCGAUAUUGACGCUGAGGAGCGAAAGCGUGGGGAGCGAACAGGAUUAGAUACCCGGGUAGUC
RNAcentral lists this ribosomal RNA (300 nucleotides) under uncultured bacterium. RNAcentral's name for it is "bacterial SSU rRNA". It matches the Rfam family "Bacterial small subunit ribosomal RNA", at positions 496 to 795 of the family's 1533-position model. The record is from RNAcentral.